UGCCAGCCGCCGCGGUAAUACGGAGUGUGCAAGCGUUACUCGGAAUCACUGGGCAUAAAGCGCACGUAGGCGGGAAGAUGUGUCGGUGGUGAAAGCCCCCAGCUCAACUGGGGAACUGCCUCCGAAACUGUCUUCCUUGAGGGCGAGAGGGGUGAGUGGAACUUCUGGUGGAGCGGUGAAAUGCGUAGAUAUCAGAAGGAACACCGGUGGCGAAAGCGACUCACUGGCUCGUUUCUGACGCUGAGGUGCGAAAGCGUGGGUAGCAAACAGGAUUAGAUA
This 279-nucleotide ribosomal RNA is filed under the name uncultured bacterium. RNAcentral describes it as "partial 16S ribosomal RNA". It matches the Rfam family "Bacterial small subunit ribosomal RNA", at positions 506 to 784 of the family's 1533-position model. The record is from RNAcentral.